UGCAGUCGAGCGGACGACGGGAGCUUGCUCCCUUAGGUCAGCGGCGGACGGGUGAGUAACACGUGGGUAACCUGCCUGUAAGACUGGGAUAACUCCGGGAAACCGGGGCUAAUACCGGAUGCUUGAUUGAACCGCAUGGUUCAAUCAUAAAAGGUGGCUUUUAGCUACCACUUACAGAUGGACCCGCGGCGCAUUAGCUAGUUGGUGAGGUAACGGCUCACCAAGGCGACGAUGCGUAGCCGACCUGAGAGGGUGAUCGGCCACACUGGGACUGAGACACGGCCCAGACUCCUACGGGAGGCAGCAGUAGGGAAUCUUCCGCAAUGGACGAAAGUCUGACGGAGCAACGCCGCGUGAGUGAUGAAGGUUUUCGGAUCGUAAAACUCUGUUGUUAGGGAAGAACAAGUACCGUUCGAAUAGGGCGGCACCUUGACGGUACCUAACCAGAAAGCCACGGCUAACUACGUGCCAGCAGCCGCGGUAAUACGUAGGUGGCAAGCGUUGUCCGGAAUUAUUGGGCGUAAAGCGCGCGCAGGCGGUUUCUUAAGUCUGAUGUGAAAGCCCCCGGCUCAACCGGGGAGGGUCAUUGGAAACUGGGGAACUUGAGUGCAGAAGAGGAGAGUGGAAUUCCACGUGUAGCGGUGAAAUGCGUAGAGAUGUGGAGGAACACCAGUGGCGAAGGCGACUCUCUGGUCUGUAACUGACGCUGAGGCGCGAAAGCGUGGGGAGCGAACAGGAUUAGAUACCCUGGUAGUCCACGCCGUAAACGAUGAGUGCUAAGUGUUAGAAGGGUUUCCGCCUUUAGUGCUGCAGCAAACGC
Molecule: ribosomal RNA, 820 nt
Filed under: Bacillus sp. (in: firmicutes)
Lineage: Bacteria; Bacillati; Bacillota; Bacilli; Caryophanales; Bacillaceae
Description: bacterial SSU rRNA
Rfam family: Bacterial small subunit ribosomal RNA
Source: RNAcentral